Molecule: non-coding RNA, 2177 nt
Organism: Danio rerio (zebrafish)
Lineage: Eukaryota; Metazoa; Chordata; Actinopteri; Cypriniformes; Danionidae
Source: RefSeq, a predicted model, not a curated record
UAAACCAGCUAAUCAAGCUCUUUCUAUGUAAACUAGAAACUUCCAGGGAGGUGCGUUGAAGAAAGUUAAAGCUAAACUACACUCAAAAAAAUGAACUUUCCCUAUUGUUAGUUUUACUAUACCCAUCCUUGUUCACAUUACAUAAAACAUAAAAGUAAUUCAAUUUACACAAGUUAACUAUGUUAUUUCUACAAAAAUUGAGUACUGUAGGCUUUACCUAAUAAGGGUUUGACUGGACAACUUAACAUUGUGGAAUAAAUCGCAAAACCCUCUUAAGUUUGGAUAUUUGCGGAUACCGUAGCUUACCUAUGGGCGGAGCACCGGAACAGAACGGAAGGCAGACGAACGUGCAAAGCACAUUGAGGAGGAGAAGAUGGUGGCUUUUUCAGAUUGCUGCUGAAUUCAGUUGAAUCACUUCUGUCCCAUUAAUUCAAACAUGUCAAAACUGGAUAGUUACUCCAGCAAGCUGGCCAGCAUCUCCCGUAGAGAAGGAGGAAUUGCAUAGAGGGCAUAAUAUUUGGAAAGUGAUGGCCACCAUUGAUGAGAAUGAUGGAGAGCUUGCAUUCUCGGAGCAUUUUCUGUGUAUCUUAAUGAAGAUUUUGAAAACCUCAUGAAGGAGUAUACUGUAAGUGUUCAAGCACUGAAUGUUUAAAAUGCCACCACAUAAAUUCACAUAAUAUAAUCAAGAAAUAUCAAUACACAAAGUAUAUUUAACUUGGGGUUAUCAAAAGUACAGACUAACCCUAACAAACACAGUAAAGUUGUUUUGUAAGUCACUGCAGGUGCGUUAUGUGAAAGAUUGAGGAAUGGACAGUUGAUACAAAAUUCACUAAAUUUACAAUCUGUAUUUUAAUGGAAUUAAACUGACUUAACAGUGGUACUGUUUUUGUGUUUUAUAGGACACAGGCUUUGAAAACUCUGAGAGAGAGAGAGAGAGAGAGAGAGAGAGAGAGAGAGAGAGAGAGAGAGAGAGACAUGGCCAAUACUCUCAUUUAUAAUCUACAUCGUCAGACCUGAAGGUGCAGAAGCCUGUGACCCACCAUCAGGUGUUGGACUGAUUGUUGAGGGAGUGAAAGUGCUUCAGAACCUUGGCGAUGUCACCAAGGCUUGUGCUCUUCUUUUGGGAGUAAUAUACAGCUUGAGUCUCAGUUAUCCUUCAGACCUGAAAUACACCCGAGUUUUUUUUUUUUUUUAGUUUUGCUGGGACUUGAAGAACUCAAGAACAAACUUGACUGAAUCAGUACAUCAUUCUGGACAAAUGAAAGAAAUAGAGGAAGAAGCUUUUUGUGACAUUUAAAUUGUUUUAUGGUUUUAAAAUUAAUGUGAUGUUAUCUUUGUUGAUGGCACCAAAGUUUUAAAUGAAGUUCUGCAACUUUAAAUGGCUAAAUGGUUUGGUUAUUUACAAAGAUUAGAGGUCAGUUUUAAUCUUUUCUUUACUAAUGGCUCGAACGAUUUCAGAUAUCCAAAAUUGAACACUGUAGCAGUUUGUGUCAUGCUGCCUGCCUUAAACUUUGCUUUUCUUUUUCCAAGUAAAAUGUAUUAUUUGCAGUUGCAUAUAGUAAAAUAACAUUUUGGUCAAUAAUAAAAAAAAAAAAAUUUCGUGUUUUUUUUCUGUCUUUUUGAAACUAAAUGUUAUUUUGGUGGGGGUUGUCAUAAAGAGGCCAGUUGUAUACUUUAACAAUCGCUUAAACAUUUUAAAAUAUCAGCAAUGUUGCAUUUCAUGACAGUAUUGAAAAAAAAUGUCCUUACACAUUUUCUUUUGUAAAUUCUUAUUACAAUAUUUGAAGGAAGUAGCACAUUGUAACAAUGUUCACUAUUGACCAAAGUGUUUUUUUUUUUGUUUUUAAAAAAUCCUCUUUAAACUGCUAUUUCAACCGUUUGUGGAUGUUUACAAAAAUCGAGGCCAGUUUGAAAGUUACUUUAACUAUUCAUUGUAAAGAUCAGAAAUAGAGUUUAGCAGUAUUUUAACAUUCCAUGUAUUUAAUAUUUCAAAUUAAGAUUAUUUCAAAUUCUUAAAGCCAGUUACACUUUAAAAGACCUUGUAAAUGUUUACUGUAAAUCCUUUGUUUUUGUGUAUUUGUUUCAAAGGACCUGUGAAAUUGAAAUUGUUUUAUGGAUUUUAGGUGUUGUAUGUUGCAAAACCUUGCAAAAAAAUAAAUUCAUUUUGUUUCUAAAAA